This is a long non-coding RNA of Gadus chalcogrammus (walleye pollock), 342 nucleotides long. RefSeq lists it as uncharacterized. The transcript is spliced from 3 exons. The record is from RefSeq and is a predicted model, not a curated record. NCBI's taxonomy places the organism in Eukaryota, Metazoa, Chordata, Actinopteri, Gadiformes, Gadidae.
AAGCCCUGUAGCGAAGAAGAGAAGGAGAAUGAUAACUUUGCAAAUAAACAUGCCGGAGGCACACAAACGAAAACGAAUUGACAACAUGAAUGUGGUAGAUCAUUGGAGCAUUUGAGACCCUUAGUCUGGAGGAAAAAUUGGAGCUGUCCUGGCAGGUCCUUGUGGGUGGAGCUGAGGGCUGAAUAGAGAAUGGGAAACACCAAGCCAGGGCUACAAACAGCAUGGUGGGACACUGAGAUAGCCGGGAGCAGGCGGAGUCAACGUCUACAAAGAUCGUCACGACUGUGAAAAUAAACGGGUGACGUCACACUGGUUCGUCAUUCAAAGGAAUAAAAAAUAUUA